This 443-nucleotide ribosomal RNA is filed under the name uncultured bacterium. Its description in RNAcentral is "partial 16S ribosomal RNA". It matches the Rfam family "Bacterial small subunit ribosomal RNA", at positions 338 to 795 of the family's 1533-position model. The record is from RNAcentral.
CCUACGGGAGGCUGCAGUGGGGAAUAUUGGGCAAUGGAGGAAACUCUGACCCAGCAACGCCGCGUGAAUGAUGAAGGUCUUCGGAUUGUAAAGUUCUUUUCUAAGGGAAGAAGAAAGUGACGGUACCUUAGGAAUAAGCCUCGGCUAACUACGUGCCAGCAGCCGCGGUAAUACGUAGGAGGCGAGCGUUAUCCGGAAUGACUGGGCGUAAAGGGUGCGUAGGUGGUUUGGCAAGUUAGUAGCGUAACUCCAAGGCUCAACCUUGGAACUACUACUAAAACUGUUGGACUUGAGUGCAGGAGGGGCAACCGGAAUUCCUAGUGUAGCGGUGGAAUGCGUAGAUAUUAGGAGGAACACCAGUGGCGAAGGCGGGUUGCUGGACUGUAACUGACACUGAGGCACGAAAGCGUGGGGAGCAAACAGGAUUAGAUACCCGAGUAGUC